Molecule: small RNA, 1510 nt
Filed under: Pongo abelii (Sumatran orangutan)
Lineage: Eukaryota; Metazoa; Chordata; Mammalia; Primates; Hominidae
Description: retained intron
Source: RNAcentral
ACAAUUACUCUUACACCUCCUUCAGGGCUACUUAGAACCACCAUAACACAAAGACAACAUCAUGGCUGGAUCCACGACUUGCGAAAAAGGCUAAACCUCCAGAAGAGUGCAAAGAAAAUGAGCUUCCAUAUGGCUGGGAAAAAAUCGAUGAUCCCAUUUAUGGCACUUAUUAUGUUGACCACAUAAAUAGAAGAACACAGUUUGAAAAUCCUGUACUGGAAGCAAAAAGGAAGCUACAGCAACAUAACAUGCCCCACACAGAACUUGGAACAAAGCCCCUGCAGGCCCCAGGUUUCCGAGAAAAACCACUCUUCACCCGGGAUGCAUCCCAGUUGAAGGGAACAUUCCUCAGCACCACCCUAAAAAAGAGCAACAUGGGUUUUGGAUUUACCAUCAUUGGUGGAGACGAGCCUGAUGAGUUUCUGCAGGUGAAAAGUGUGAUUCCGGAUGGGCCUGCAGCACAGGAUGGAAAAAUGGAAACAGGUGAUGUCAUUGUCUAUAUUAAUGAAGUUUGUGUCCUUGGACACACUCAUGCAGAUGUUGUCAAACUUUUCCAGUCUGUUCCUAUUGGUCAGAGUGUCAACCUGGUGUUGUGUCGUGGCUACCCUUUGCCCUUUGAUCCUGAAGACCCUGCUAACAGCAUGGUGCCACCCCUUGCAAUAAUGGAGAGGCCACCUCCAGUGAUGGUCAAUGGAAGACACAACUAUGAAACAUAUUUGGAGUACAUUUCUCGGACCUCACAGUCAGUUCCAGAUAUAACAGAUCGGCCGCCUCAUACUUUGCACUCUAUGCCAGCUGAUGGUCAGCUAGACGGCACGUAUCCACCGCCCGUCCAUGAUGACAAUGUGUCUAUGGCUUCAUCUGGGGCCACCCAAGCUGAACUUAUGACCUUAACCAUUGUGAAAGGUGCCCAGGGCUUCGGCUUCACUAUUGCUGACAGUCCUACAGGACAGCGGGUGAAACAAAUACUUGACAUUCAGGGAUGCCCUGGCCUGUGUGAAGGCGACCUCAUUGUUGAGAUCAACCAGCAGAAUGUACAGAACCUGAGCCAUACAGAAGUAGUGGAUAUACUUAAGGACUGUCCCAUUGGAAGUGAAACUUCUUUGAUUAUCCAUCGAGGAGGUUUCUUUUCUCCAUGGAAAACUCCAAAGCCUAUAAUGGACCGAUGGGAGAAUCAAGGCAGUCCUCAAACGAGUUUAUCUGCUCCGGCCAUACCGCAGAACCUGCCCUUCCCACCUGCCCUUCACAGGAGCUCCUUUCCUGACUCAACAGAGGCCUUUGACCCACGGAAGCCUGAUCCAUAUGAGCUCUACGAGAAAUCUAGGGCCAUUUAUGAAAGUAGGCAACAAGUGCCACCCAGGACCAGUUUUCGAAUGGAUUCCUCUGGCAAGUAUUGUUCAGUACUCACAGUUCUGUGAACAAAACGUCUUCCAUUUUGUGUAACAAAUCAUUCUUCUGAUAGUAUCAGUUUCUUAGUAUAUAAUCACUGUGCUACUUUAGUCACCUACAU